AUGAUUGAUAUGGCAAAGAAAUGUUUAAUGACAACUAUUAUCACACCCGUACCUUUAUAUUUUAAAUGAUGAAAAUUUGAGAAAAAAGCUUAAUCCGGAGAGAUUUAAUCAUUUUAUGUCUCGUUUAAAAACAUACAUUCGUUUUUCUCAUUCAACAACAGGAAAUCUACCUGCACAAUAUUUACAUUCACAAGUAUAAGGAAAAUUAUUCAAAAGCAAAAUAAAAUAAAACACGUAUGUACAUGAUAUUAUCUACAAAAAUUAUGUUGAGUGCACUUGAAUUUCAAAAAUUGAUUAUUGUGAGUUGGCAUAAAAUCUUAAAUGAACAGUUAAUCUUCAUUUUUAAAUAUAUUAUAACAAACAAUAACUAAUUAUACCAAAUAUUUGUCAAAAAUGUUAAGUUUUUAAAAAUAAGUAGAAAAUUUAUGAUUGAAUUUUUUCAAGUAUUAUGAAACAGAUAUUUCAUUG
Long non-coding RNA from Daktulosphaira vitifoliae (grape phylloxera), 468 nucleotides. RefSeq lists it as uncharacterized. The transcript is spliced from 3 exons. The record is from RefSeq and is a predicted model, not a curated record. Lineage: Eukaryota; Metazoa; Arthropoda; Insecta; Hemiptera; Phylloxeridae.